AACGCACAUUGCGCCCAUUAGUAUUCUAGUGGGCAUGCCUGUUCGAGCGUCAUUUCAACCCUUAAGCUCAGCUUAGUGUUGGGAGACUGCCUAACCGCAGCUCCUCAAAUUCAGUUGGCAGAGUGUAGGUGUGCUCUGAGCGUAGUAAUUCUUUAUCUCGCUUCUGAAAGCCUUGCACUGUCGCCACAAACCUAUUAUUUUUUAAUGGUUGACCUCGGAUCAGGUAGGAAUACCCGCUGAACUUAA
RNAcentral lists this unclassified non-coding RNA (246 nucleotides) under uncultured Xylariales. RNAcentral describes it as "sequence contains 5.8S rRNA gene, ITS2, 28S rRNA gene". Lineage: Eukaryota; Fungi; Ascomycota; Sordariomycetes; Xylariales. The record is from RNAcentral.